AGUUCUCAAGGACUAGCCUUCUGAUCUUGUAAGACCUAAAGCCCUCUUUACCAGCUAACUAAUCCCCCCUAAACACUAUCUACCUACCCUGUCACUAAGGAAUCUUAUCUCUUAAAAUAUAUAUAUAAUCUUGCCUCUGCACAGAGUAACCUGGUAAACCCAAAGAUGUCAGGGCCUACCAACUGGCUUGGCAGUGAGGUGACACCUCAAAAUGCCAGCACACCAAAAUCUGGAUCCUCUUACUCCUUCUUCCUUGAAGUAUUCCCCUUCAUGGUUGAUGAUAUCAGUAGUAAGGAACCAGAAAACCAUUGAAGGUAGUCAGGAACCCUUCCAGACCAGAGAUGACCCAGGAAAGAUUCUCAAAGUCCUCAAAACUAGCUCAAGGACUUUGCUGUCACUAAGAGGUCUUUCCUAGCAAUCAGUGAUGUUCUCUCCGAAGAAUUGACAGUGAGAACAAAACUAGGUUCAAAUCUAUUCAGCUCAGAGAAACCUCUGAGCAAAUCCAAAAGCAGUCUAGACUAGGUCAGUAACCAAAUCCAACUUUCUUCCAGCUCCCUGAGUGUUCUCAACUGCCAGCAUAAGAAUUUCAUCUAAAUGCCCCAUGUUCCAAACUCCUGGUCAUGCCAUGUCACUCAUGCAUGAAGCCUUAAAGGCACCUGCUCCAGUCCUGGCCUCCUGUCUUCUGAAACUGAUCCAUCUGCCUUUGAAUUUAAUGGGAGCUCUGCCCUUAGCUCAGCAUCACAGAGCUGGGAGCAAACCUGAUAAUGAGCCCUGGGUGGUUAGUCCAUUUGCCUCUGUUGUGCUGCCUUCCAAAGCUAACUGUAGCCAAAGUACUUUAUUUGCUGAUACACAUACUCAUGGAAAGCUUUAUCUAAAUGUGCAUCAUAAUCUGGGCAACAGAAAUGCUUCAUUCCCUUGAUAAAGAAACUGAGAACUAGUCAAGUUGAAUGACUUAUUUAAAGUC
This 964-nucleotide long non-coding RNA is filed under the name Monodelphis domestica (gray short-tailed opossum). RNAcentral describes it as "lncRNA (ENSMODG00000051403.1)". Lineage: Eukaryota; Metazoa; Chordata; Mammalia; Didelphimorphia; Didelphidae. The record is from RNAcentral.